Molecule: ribosomal RNA, 1525 nt
Organism: Mesoplasma florum L1
Lineage: Bacteria; Bacillati; Mycoplasmatota; Mollicutes; Entomoplasmatales; Entomoplasmataceae
Rfam family: Bacterial small subunit ribosomal RNA
Source: Rfam
UAAAAUGAGAGUUUGAUCCUGGCUCAGGAUAAACGCUGGCGGCAUGCCUAAUACAUGCAAGUCGAACGGAGGUGCUUGCACCUCAGUGGCGAACGGGUGAGUAACACGUAUCUAAUCUACCUUCUAGCGGGGGAUAACUUUUGGAAACGAAAGGUAAUACCGCAUGUGGAUGUUAUUAUCGCAUGAGAAAACAUUCAAAGAUCCGUUUGGAUCACUAGAAGAUGAGGAUGCGGCGUAUUAGCUAGUAGGCGGGGUAAAGGCCCACCUAGGCGAUGAUACGUAGCCGAACUGAGAGGUUGAUCGGCCACAUUGGGACUGAGAUACGGCCCAGACUCCUACGGGAGGCAGCAGUAGGGAAUUUUUCACAAUGGACGAAAGUCUGAUGAAGCAAUGCCGCGUGAGUGAUGACGGCCUUCGGGUUGUAAAGCUCUGUUGUAAGGGAAGAAAACAUAGGAGAGGAAAUGCUCUUAUCUUGACGGUACCUUACCAGAAAGCCACGGCUAACUAUGUGCCAGCAGCCGCGGUAAUACAUAGGUGGCAAGCGUUAUCCGGAUUUAUUGGGCGUAUAGGGUGCGUAGGCGGUUUCGCAAGUUUGAGGUUAAAGCCCGGAGCUCAACUCCGGUUCGCCUUGAAAACUGCGGGACUAGAAUAUCAGAGAGGUAAGCGGAAUUCCAUGUGUAGCGGUAAAAUGCGUAGAUAUAUGGAAGAACACCAGUGGCGAAAGCGGCUUACUGGCUGAUUAUUGACGCUGAGGCACGAAAGCGUGGGGAGCAAAUAGGAUUAGAUACCCUAGUAGUCCACGCCGUAAACGUUGAGUACUAAGUAUUGGGGAUUACCUCAGUGCUGCAGCUAACGCAUUAAGUACUCCGCCUGAGUAGUAUGCUCGCAAGAGUGAAACUCAAAGGAAUUGACGGGGACCCGCACAAGUGGUGGAGCAUGUGGUUUAAUUCGAAGCAACACGAAGAACCUUACCAGGGCUUGACAUACAGUGCAAAGCUACAGAGAUGUAGUGGAGGUUAACAUUGAUACAGGUGGUGCAUGGUUGUCGUCAGUUCGUGCCGUGAGGUGUUGGGUUAAGUCCCGCAACGAACGCAACCCUUGUCGUUAGUUACUAACAUUAAGUUGAGGACUCUAACGAGACUGCUAGUGUAAGCUAGAGGAAGGUGGGGAUGACGUCAAAUCAUCAUGCCCCUUAUGUCCUGGGCUACACACGUGCUACAAUGGCCGAUACAAAGAGUCGCAAUCUCGCGAGGGGGAGCUAAUCUCAAAAAGUCGGUCUCAGUUCGGAUUGAAGUCUGCAACUCGACUUCAUGAAGCCGGAAUCACUAGUAAUCGCGAAUCAGCUAUGUCGCGGUGAAUACGUUCUCGGGUCUUGUACACACCGCCCGUCAAACCACGAGAGUUGGUAAUACCAGAAGUACGUUUCCUAACCGUAAGGAAGGCGCGUCCCAAGGUAGGACUAGCGAUUGGGGUUAAGUCGUAACAAGGUAUCCGUACGGGAACGUGCGGAUGGAUCACCUCCUUU